GUGGGGAAUAUUGGACAAUGGGCGCAAGCCUGAUCCAGCAAUGCCGCGUGGGUGAAGAAGGUCUUCGGAUCGUAAAGCCCUUUCGACAGGGACGAUGAUGACGGUACCUGUAGAAGAAGCCCCGGCUAACUUCGUGCCAGCAGCCGCGGUAAUACGAAGGGGGCUAGCGUUACUCGGAAUUACUGGGCGUAAAGGGCGCGUAGGCGGCUCUGAUAGUCAGGCGUGAAAUUCCUGGGCUUAACCUGGGGACUGCGAUUGAUACUGCAGGGCUUGAGGACGAGAGAGGGUGGUGGAAUUCCCAGGGUAGAAGUGAAAUUCGUAGAUAUUGGGAAGAACACCGGUGGCGAAGGCGACCACCUGGCUCGGUUCUAACGCUGAGGCGCGACAGCGUGGGGAGCAAACAGGAUUAGAAACCCCAGUAGUCC
This 425-nucleotide ribosomal RNA is filed under the name uncultured bacterium. RNAcentral describes it as "partial 16S ribosomal RNA". It matches the Rfam family "Bacterial small subunit ribosomal RNA", at positions 354 to 796 of the family's 1533-position model. The record is from RNAcentral.